This 407-nucleotide ribosomal RNA is filed under the name uncultured bacterium. Its description in RNAcentral is "bacterial SSU rRNA". It matches the Rfam family "Bacterial small subunit ribosomal RNA", at positions 28 to 419 of the family's 1533-position model. The record is from RNAcentral.
GAUGAACGCUAGCGGCAGGCUUAACACAUGCAAGUCGAGGGGCAGCAUGACACGGAGAUUCGUCGAAGUGUCGAUGGCGACCGGCGCAAGGGUGCGUAACGCGUGAGCAACUUGCCCGUUUCUGGGGAAUAACCGUUGGAAACGACGACUAAUACCCCAUAGUAUUCAUGAUGAGGCAUCUUAUUGUGAUUAAAGAAUUUCGGAAACGGAUAGGCUCGCGUGACAUUAGCUAGAUGGCGGGGUAACGGCCCACCAUGGCGACGAUGUCUAGGGGUUCUGAGAGGAAGGUCCCCCGGACACUGGAACUGAGACACGGUCCAGACUCCUACGGGAGGCAGCAGUGAGGAAUAUUGGUCAAUGGUCGGAAGACUGAACCAGGCCAAGUAGCGUGAAGGAUGACUGCCCUA